Long non-coding RNA from Armigeres subalbatus, 2011 nucleotides. RefSeq lists it as uncharacterized. The transcript is spliced from 3 exons. Lineage: Eukaryota; Metazoa; Arthropoda; Insecta; Diptera; Culicidae. The record is from RefSeq and is a predicted model, not a curated record.
ACGAUGCAGUGUGCCAGCCAAUAGGUUGGCAUGACUGAUAAAGCACACCGUAUUCUACGUGAGAAAUGUUGUGCUACGAAAGCGCACGAAAUUGUUUGGAGUUGAAUUGGUCCGUGCCGCACAGUACAUUUUUCGAUUACGGAAGACCGGUAUGUGGCAGUUCCUGACGGGGUUCGAUUAACUACAUAUGAAUAUACGCUGUGGAAACUUUGCCUGCAGUUCGACUAACUCAACAUGAAGUUGAUCAGCAAUUAAUAAUUUGCGUUGGUGAUCAUCAGAAGGAGAAAUUCAGAAAUGAUUGAGUAAGGAUAGCACCGAAGGAUUUGUACUAUUUGCUAAAGGUGUUUUCUAACAUAGCUCGCUAGGGAGAUUUACGGCAUCGAGUUCAUACUGACGAUUGUGUUAAAUCUAUUUGACGUGACUUUAUGACAUUUAUGUCAAUUUAAACUUGAUUAUCAAAUAAGAUCGAUUGUCUAAACGAAUAUGCCGAAGACUUCAGCUGCAAUUCGGUGAAGGAUCUGCUUUAUAAUAUCGUGUUUAAGCAUAACUCAAAUUCAUUCACGAAAAAAUGUUACUAAGGUCCUUUUGACAAAAUAAGCGAGCAUUCCUCGUUGGUGUCUCUGCUGCAGCCAGUGAAGAAGGAUAUAAAUAUUUAGCGCGAGCAGGAUAAAUUUGGCGCUGGAGCACACAGUGGAAUGACUUUAAGCUGCUCGUCAACUGGUUACUAAACAACAGGUUCACCACCAUUCAAAAUUCAACUGCACAAGUGAUUCUGAUCCAUUUGUUGACCUAAACAACAAGUAAUUCCACUCACGACAUACACAUCAGUAGCAUGUCUCGAUACAAAAGUCUAAAAAACACGUACCAGACGUCUCGGAAGCCUACAAGGUAUUAUUGAAAGUCUCAAUUUGAGACCAAUACUGCACAGGAGAAAUGGUGUUGUUAAAUGAUCAGACUACUGCGGCGUUACUGCAUGGAUCAGAGUGUUAAGAUCAACAACGGAAUGAUGAAAAACCUUGCACUGGUUCUGCGCCACAUACUCGAAUUGUAACGCGCAUAACAGAUCUAAUACGACGUGACCGUAAAUCGUCCAAUAGAUAUCGACUUGGCAAUUCUCAUCAACACAUGGAUUCAGUGCCGAAAACCUACCACAAAAGGUUGGAACAAAUUCGAUUACUGUUUAAUGACCACCGGUAAAUGGUGGUUGUUCGAAGUCUACAGCUUAUUACGCUACUGUUCCUCGAGUGCUCCGAAAGUUCGAAUGAAGCGAAAACGCAAACUAGAACCAUUACUUCUGACAGACGUUCCAAUCGAUGUCCACGAUGAAGAGGAUUUAGACCUCGGUGAACGGUCGAUAUCUAUUUUCUCAGUACGUCGAUUUUCAAUUUUCCCUGAACCAGAAUGACCAAUGCACGAACUAUCCGCUAUUGCAGCGCUACGCCAAGUCUCAAGCCGAUUUGAACGCCCUGUGUCGGAAGUACAAAGUGCUGGUCACCGAACAGUAGAUAAUGCGGGACAAAACUUUGAUCGCGACGAAUGCAUUAAGUGACGGGAAGAAAAAAUAGCCGGGAAGCGCUGCAGUUCUCCAGCAAUCCACUGAGUUCAGCUGCAAUCUGAAGGAUUCGAUGAAGCAGUUGUGCUCCCAAUGUGACCCAUCCUCGGACCCAUCCACGUACGAAGUAAUCGCAACCCGAAAAAUCUACGAGACUCAAGGCCUUCAUCCACUGCUCUGCAUUCUUCCGCCCAAUGCGCCCGUGUUGCUAAAUCCUACGUUUCCGUAGUCCGUGUCCGACCCAACUGGUCGCCCCAAUUAAAUUUCCAUUAUGUUCGCAUUCCUACGAAAAGACAUCACUGACAAGCGCUUCUCAACGGACGCUCGUAGUAUGAUGAUUGAUGGUGAAGCUGGCUGCCACCUAACCAUCACAACUAGGCACAAUCAUCCGUUUGUAUGCUGUUAAACGUCCUGUGAAGUCCUAUCGGGAUCGCAAACAGGGCGACUGCACUGGUACAA